This 450-nucleotide long non-coding RNA is filed under the name Vigna radiata. RNAcentral describes it as "long non-coding RNA (VRAD_LNC011417)". The record is from RNAcentral. Lineage: Eukaryota; Viridiplantae; Streptophyta; Magnoliopsida; Fabales; Fabaceae.
UUGAAUUUUGAUUAUUUGCACUGUGCGGAUGGGUCAAACCAAAAUCCACAAAAAAGAGGUCGUAUUUGCACUGCAACAGUCGUCAUCAGCAAGAGGCGCAUCGUUACAGUUACGAGAAACAGCGAGAACGAAGGACAAUAGCAAGAAGCUAAACGAUGUCGUUUAUGCGCGGAGAUUUGCUUUGCCAAACGAGGAAGCUGGUGAAGGGUCUAGCGAAGGCAGAACCCGUAUGGCUGAAAGCGAUGGAGCAGUUAAUCUCCUAAUUCUUCUCAUUCAUCUUUUCCCUCUUUUCAACCUAAUUUUCUCUUUCUUUUUCCUUAAUUUACUUUUUAUUUUUCUCAAAGCUUUCAAAUUUCUCUAAUGUGUGUUACCAGGGCGCCACCUGCAACAUUUCCUCCAGUUGCCGGCAAAAUUCCGACCAUCAGUCUUCCUGAGGAUGUCUAUGUGAAG